UACGAAGGGGGCUAGCGUUGUUCGGAAUUACUGGGCGUAAAGCGCGCUCAGGUGGUCUUUCAAGUCAGUGGUGAAAGCCCGGAGCUCAACUCCGGAAAUGCCAUUGAAACUGUAAGACUUGAGGAUGAGAGAGGUGAGUGGAAUUCCCAGUGUAGAGGUGAAAUUCGUAGAUAUUGGGAAGAACACCGGUGGCGAAGGCGGCUCACUGGCUCAUAUCUGACGCUCAGGCGCGACAGCGUGGGGAUCAAACAGG
This 253-nucleotide ribosomal RNA is filed under the name uncultured bacterium. RNAcentral describes it as "partial 16S ribosomal RNA". It matches the Rfam family "Bacterial small subunit ribosomal RNA", at positions 524 to 776 of the family's 1533-position model. The record is from RNAcentral.